GACGAACGCUGGCGGCGUGCUUAACACAUGCAAGUCGAGCGGUAAGGCCCUUUCGGGGGUACACGAGCGGCGAACGGGUGAGUAACACGUGGGUGACCUGCCCUCAGCUCUGGGAUAAGCCUGGGAAACUGGGUCUAAUACUGGAUAUGACUCCACGGUGCAUGUCGUGGGGUGGAAAGCCUUGUGCGGCUGAGGAUGGGCCCGCGGCCUAUCAGCUUGUUGGUGGGGNGAUGGCCUACCAAGGCGACGACGGGUAGCCGGCCUGAGAGGGCGACCGGCCACACUGGGACUGAGACACGGCCCAGACUCCUACGGGAGGCAGCAGUGGGGAAUCUUGCGCAAUGGGCGAAAGCCUGACGCAGCGACGCCGCGUGAGGGAUGACGGCCGUCGGGUUGUAAACCUCUUUCAGCUCCGACGAAGCGGAAGUGACGGUAGGAGCAGAAGAAGCACCGGCCAACUACGUGCCAGCAGCCGCCGCAGUAAU
Molecule: ribosomal RNA, 485 nt
Filed under: uncultured bacterium
Lineage: Bacteria
Description: bacterial SSU rRNA
Rfam family: Bacterial small subunit ribosomal RNA
Source: RNAcentral